Molecule: long non-coding RNA, 918 nt
Filed under: Marmota monax (woodchuck)
Lineage: Eukaryota; Metazoa; Chordata; Mammalia; Rodentia; Sciuridae
Rfam family: tRNA (bases 595-654)
Source: RNAcentral
GACUUGCCUAGCAUGCACAAGGCACUGGGUUCAAUCCUCAGCACCACAUAAAUGUAAAAUAAAGAUAUUGUGUCCACCUAAAACUAAAAUUAAAAAAAUAAAUAUUUUUUUAAAAAGAUUGUUUUUCACAUGAGUUCAUAGUCUCAGAAACUAAGAGUAACUGAGGGUGCUGUUGGUGCAAAGGGUUUCCAGGAUCUCAAGAUUGACAUUUUGUAGCUGGGAGCACAGUAGGGUGAUGGCUUUGAUAGGGAGGCAGGGCCCAGACUUAGAAAUAGGGAACCUAGAAAUACUACCCAACCCCCCCCCCUCCCCCGGCCUAUUAGGUCACAACUGUUCCAGAGAAAAAAAAUGAAGAAUCAGCCAUGGUCAAGGAGCAUCUUGACCCCUCCAUCCAGGAAUCAAAGGGAGUGCAGCAUUAAGAGUCAGUUGGGCCAGGCACAGUUGCGGAUGUGCACAUCUAUAAUCCCAGCAACUCAGGAAAGCGGAAGCAGAGGAUCACAAGUUUGAGUCCAGCCUGAGAACUUAGUGAAGCCCUAAGCAACUUGGUGAGACCCCUGUAUAAAAAUUAAAAGGGCUGGGGUUAUGGGCUGAAAUUGUGGCUCAGUGGUAGAGCACUUACCUGGCAUGUGUGAAGCCUGGGUUUGAUCCUCAGCACCACAUAUAAAUAAAUGAAACAAAAGAUCCAUUGACAACUAAAAAAAAAAGGAGCUAGGGUUAUAACUCAGUGGUAAAGCACGACUGGGUUAAAUCCCCAGUACCAAAAAAAAAGAAUCAGAUAAGGAAUGCUAAAGGGAAACAGAAACUGGAGCAUCAUGGGGUUUGACCACUGUUAUUCACCAGGAACUCAGCCUAGGUGCACUUUUCUUUUCAAACUCAUCUACCCUCAUUGUUCUUAUGAGGAAUUUUGUCAGGCCUCUG